GUGGGAGGGGGCUUGCCCCCGAUAGCAGUGGGCCAGUCAGAGAAGUUGUGACUGACACACCGUCAUCGGGGGCAAGCCCCCUCCCAC
RNAcentral lists this unclassified non-coding RNA (87 nucleotides) under Pseudomonas azotoformans. Lineage: Bacteria; Pseudomonadati; Pseudomonadota; Gammaproteobacteria; Pseudomonadales; Pseudomonadaceae. The record is from RNAcentral.